GACGAACGCUGGCGGCGUGCUUAACACAUGCAAGUCGAACGAUGAAGCUAGAGCUUGCUCUGGUGGAUUAGUGGCGAACGGGUGAGUAACACGUGAGUAACCUGCCCCGAACUCUGGGAUAACUGCUGGAAACGGUAGCUAAUACCGGAUAUGACCAAUGAAGGCAUCUUCUGUUGGUGGAAGGAAUUUCGGUUCGGGAGGGACUGGCGGCCUAUCAGCUUGUUGGUGAGGUAACGGCUCACCAAGGCGACGACGGGUAGCCGGCCUGAGAGGGUGAUCGGCCACACUGGGACUGAGACACGGCCCAGACUCCUACGGGAGGCAUCAGUGGGGAAUAUUGCACAAUGGGCGCAAGCCUGAUGCAGCGACGCCGCGUGAGGGAUGAAGGUCUUCGGAUUGUAAACCUCUUUCAGUAGGGACGAAGCGAAAGUGACGGUACCUAAAGAAGAAGCACCGGCUAACUACGUGCCAGCCGCCGCAGUAA
RNAcentral lists this ribosomal RNA (484 nucleotides) under uncultured bacterium. RNAcentral's name for it is "partial 16S ribosomal RNA". It matches the Rfam family "Bacterial small subunit ribosomal RNA", at positions 28 to 523 of the family's 1533-position model. The record is from RNAcentral.